Cucurbita maxima (winter squash) is the source of this 111-nucleotide long non-coding RNA. RefSeq lists it as uncharacterized. Lineage: Eukaryota; Viridiplantae; Streptophyta; Magnoliopsida; Cucurbitales; Cucurbitaceae. The record is from RefSeq and is a predicted model, not a curated record. The transcript has 3 exons.
AGGAGGAUUGUUAGAAGAGUUAGUAGAAUAAGUUACUAACUUAUAGAGUAAGCUUAGGAGAAUUGUUAGCAGACUUAGUAGAAUAAGUUACUAACUUAUGAAGCAACUAUA